CCCACACACUUCUUGCUCGAACCAUUUCAUGGCUUUGUAAUCACAUCUGAAGUCGGAAAUUUCCAGAAGCCCAAGGCCGCAGAGAGAACAAUCCUCCUCGACCCAAAUCAGCAGCUGCACCACCAUCACCACGCCGUCACCAAACCCACCGCACCACCACCCGUGUCGGAGCCAGGCUCUUCGAUCUAAUCUUGUGUUUGCAAAACCACAGGCAAUGCAAUAGAAAAGAGAAGAAGGCAAAUCAGUUUGAUCUGCAAUUUCACAAUCUUUGCAAAACCUUGGGCACUGCAAUAGAGAAGAGAAGAAGGCAAAUCAGUUUGAUCUCCAAUUUUACAAGUGAGAGGCCAUCAAGCUGUACCACAUCGAUCUGGCUCUGAGAUACAGAGGUUGGGUUGAAAACGAGGACUGAGAUUGGUAGAACUUUAGACCGGCAAUGAUGCACUGGACCUUAGGAGAGAUCCAAGAUUUUGGUCAAUUUUUGGAGGAAGCUUCAGCUUUGUUUCAAAAGAAGUGGCUGCUAAAAUUUUGAUCAAAAUUGUUUCAUUCAGUUAUCUAAAAUUCUGCUCGGGUGAGUUUUUUCUUACUAAAUUUUGUGUUAACAUGUGAAUGAAAAUAAUUUGGCUUUAAGUUUCAAUUCGAAUGGAGAUCCUGCGGCAAAGUGCGGGUCAAAAUUUCUAGUAAUUAUGUGAGCAAAAACGUGCCUCAUACCAACCUUCCUCUCUACUAAUUGUCAAGCUAUUCACAGCAUAUAAUCCUUUUGGAUUAAAUGGAUCGCAUCAUGGCUAGAAAGCUUUUUGAAGACGAAUGCUGGCUGUUGAGCAGAUGGUGGGGAUGCUUCACCACUUAACAUGAAAAAAAACAGCUUACAUGGUUGGUCGUCCAUUUGAAUCCUCUUCUACACGCAACAACCCAACUUUAAUACAUCUCAACACUUCAUUAGGCUGAUAUGACUCUAGUGAUGAGUCCAACAUUUCUAAGGCUCUGUCUUCUCUCAACAACUGGCAGACCUGUAGUUGAAAGGAUUAUUUGAAAGAUCAUAGGGAUGACUAACUUCUUUAGCAUGGUUCGUUACUCACAUAUCCUAUCAAGUUCAUGGAAUGAUCCUCUUGAAGACCGCUACUUUUCUUGCCACUUAGAAUCUCCAAUAGUAUGAUCCCAAAACUAAAGACAUCGGAUUUUGUGAAAAAAAUUCCAAAUACAACAUACUCUGGUGACAUAUAGCCACUGCAUAUGAAGAAAACACAAUGUUACAACCAAAAUGCAUUGUCGAAUGAAUAUGAAAGGGGUUGGUCGCCAUGGAAUAUUCUUGCCAUGCCAAAAUAUGAAAUUUUUGGGUUCAUUUCAGCAUCUAGAAGAACAUUGCUGGUUUUCAGAUCUCUGUGGAUAAUCCACAGUCUCGAGUCUUGGUGAAGAUAAAGAAGUCUGCGAGCAAUCCCAUUGAUAGUUUCAAGGCGCUCGUUCCAAUCUAAGGAUGUGCUUCUUCUAUGAUCUAUAUCAAGAGAUUUGGGUUUUAUGUCAAUAAAUGGGGUACAUGUUUAUUGGUCGUAGCUACAUUUCCUCAUGUCUUUGGAUAAGGCAUAUACAAAUGUAAAUUUGCUAGAGUGAUACCAAAAAGAAAGGAGUCCAAGUUACUGUAUGGCAUGUAUUCCAGGAUUAACAUCCUUUCUUCUCCCUUUAUACAACAUCCCAACAGUUUCACAA
This is a long non-coding RNA of Rosa chinensis, 1701 nucleotides long. RefSeq lists it as uncharacterized. The transcript is spliced from 5 exons. The record is from RefSeq and is a predicted model, not a curated record. Lineage: Eukaryota; Viridiplantae; Streptophyta; Magnoliopsida; Rosales; Rosaceae.